GUCAGAUGACACCUGCCAGUUGGACAUGUACACCUUACAGUCCUUCCAUACACCGAAUAUACUAGACCUAUUGCUUAUAGUAUCUGAGAUAUGGACUUGACCACCAAAACUUAACCUUGUUCAUUGAUCCAUGAAAUGAGGUCGAGGUCAAGUGAAAACUGUCUGACGGGCAUGAGGACCUUGCAAGGUACGCACAUACCAAAUAUAGUUGAACUAUUGCACAUAGUAUUAGAAAAAAAGACCAAAACUCAAAAACUUAACUUUGACCACUGAACCAUGAAAAUGAGGUCAAGGUCAGAUGACACCUGCCCGCUAGACAUGUACACCUUACAAUCAUUCCAUACACCAAAUAUAGUAGACCUAUGGCAUACAGUAUAAGAAAAAAAGACCAAAA
Long non-coding RNA from Mytilus californianus (California mussel), 394 nucleotides. RefSeq lists it as uncharacterized. NCBI's taxonomy places the organism in Eukaryota, Metazoa, Mollusca, Bivalvia, Mytilida, Mytilidae. The transcript has 2 exons. The record is from RefSeq and is a predicted model, not a curated record.